GGUAGUCUCCUUUGGAAAUGGGGCUUUUGGUGGUAUACUGUCUUAUUUGAACAGAGUGCCUCUGGGGUUUUAAACUUCCCUGGCCUUUAUUUCAUAAGGUGGAAGAGGCUAUUGGGGCCAUUAUAUCUAUUCAAGUCACUUAAUCUGAGCCUCAGUUUCCUCAUCUAUAAUCUGGCAUUAAUAACUACUUCACAGAGGGCCAUUAUGAGGACUGAAUAAAGUAAUGUAUAUGAAGCACUUUAUAAACCUUACAAGAGCAAUAUAAAUGUAAAUCAUUAUUACCAUAGAUGUGUUAUUCUAGAACUAGAAUCAAUGUCACAAACUGAAAGAACUAUGGAAGCUCUUUCAGUAAAGGGUCACAUAUUUAAUUCUCAGUCAAGGCUGAGCUGAGAAAAGGGGCUGGCUGCUGGAGCAAAGCCAUGCAGAGAGUGCCAAGGAAUCUUUCCCUCUUGCCAAAAUGGUCUUUGGCUUAGGAUAACAGAGAUAAGCCAGAGAAAGACAUCGUGGAAACAGCUGAUGAUGUGUCUUAGAAUACUUAGACAAGUAUAGGGAAGAAAAGUGGGAGAUAGGAGGCUAGAUGAAUGCUGCCUGAAAGAGAGUUCAAGCUUUAUUAAAUUUGUUGGCAAGGAAGGUGUUGGCCAUGGAAAAAAAAGAGGCAGAGGGAGAAAAGGAAUAAAUUAAUAGCAACUCUGAAAGGUAGCCCAUUCAUAUAAAUAUGUGGCAGAAGCAACUGUAAGAACCAGGCACCUCAGAAAAUAAAAGUUCUCUCAGAGCAACAGAGAGAUAGAUCAAGACCACUUUUUCCUGUCUUGCCAAACAAAUCAAGAACAGUAGCUGGAAAGGAUUGAAGAGAACAUUAAUUCAAAUAACUCAUUUUACAGAUUGAGAAGCUUGAGGUAGAGAGGAAUGUGGGACCUGAAUCUCGUUUUUAAUAUUUAACUAGCUGAAGGACUGAAGACAAACCACUUAAGCCCUGGCAGUAUGUAUUUUCUGAAAGGUAAGAUGUAAAUAGAUAAUGGAUACCUAUAGUUUUUAAGUCACAGGACUGUUAGAUGUAACCCGUUGCUCAGAACAAAGUUCUGGAUUCACACAAAUUAGAUCCAAUUAUAAAGGCUUCUAAACAGCUUGAUGACAUGCCUUCAUCUAGGGUUUUUCCUGGGAAGAUCAGAACUUAGCUCAUGUCUAAGCUUUCCCCCAGAAAAGGAAAA
Molecule: long non-coding RNA, 1208 nt
Organism: Sarcophilus harrisii (Tasmanian devil)
Lineage: Eukaryota; Metazoa; Chordata; Mammalia; Dasyuromorphia; Dasyuridae
Exons: 3
Source: RefSeq, a predicted model, not a curated record